CGUACACUCCUACGGGAGGCAGCAGUGGGGAAUAUUGCACAAUGGGCGCAAGCCUGAUGCAGCCAUGCCGCGUGUAUGAAGAAGGCCUUCGGGUUGUAAAGUACUUUCAGCGGGGAGGAAGGCGAUAAGGUUAAUAACCUUGUCGAUUGACGUUACCCGCAGAAGAAUCACCGGCUAACUCCGUGCCAGCAGCCGCGGUAAUACGGAGGGUGCAAGCGUUAAUCGGAAUUACUGGGCGUAAAGCGCACGCAGGCGGUCUGUCAAGUCGGAUGUGAAAUCCCCAGGCUCAACCUGGGAACUGCAUUCGAAACUGGCAGGCUAGAGUCUUGUAGAGGGGGGUAGAAUUCCAGGUGUAGCGGUGAAAUGCGUAGAGAUCUGGAGGAAUACCGGUGGCGAAGGCGGCCCCCUGGACAAAGACUGACGCUCAGGUGCGAAAGCGUGGGGAGCAAACAGGAUUAGAUACCCGGGUAGUCC
RNAcentral lists this ribosomal RNA (474 nucleotides) under uncultured organism. RNAcentral's name for it is "partial 16S ribosomal RNA". It matches the Rfam family "Bacterial small subunit ribosomal RNA", at positions 330 to 796 of the family's 1533-position model. The record is from RNAcentral.